AUUGAACGCUAGCGGGAUGCUUUACACAUGCAAGUCGAACGGCAGCGCGGACUUCGGUCUGGCGGCGAGUGGCGAACGGGUGAGUAAUGUAUCGGAACGUUCCCAGUAGCGGGGGAUAACUACGCGAAAGCGUAGCUAAUACCGCAUACGCCCUACGGGGGAAAGCAGGGGAUCGUAAGACCUUGCACUAUUGGAGCGGCCGAUAUCGGAUUAGCUAGUUGGUGAGGUAACGGCUCACCAAGGCGACGAUCCGUAGCUGGUUUGAGAGGACGACCAGCCACACUGGGACUGAGACACGGCCCAGACUCCUACGGGAGGCAGCAGUGGGGAAUUUUGGACAAUGGGGGCAACCCUGAUCCAGCCAUCCCGCGUGUGCGAUGAAGGCCUGCGGGUUGUAAAGCACUUUUGGCAGGAAAGAAACGUCGCGGGCUAAUACCCCGUGGAACUGACGGUACCUGCAGAAUAAGCACCGGCUAACUACGUG
RNAcentral lists this ribosomal RNA (484 nucleotides) under uncultured bacterium. Its description in RNAcentral is "partial 16S ribosomal RNA". It matches the Rfam family "Bacterial small subunit ribosomal RNA", at positions 30 to 507 of the family's 1533-position model. The record is from RNAcentral.